Molecule: long non-coding RNA, 309 nt
Organism: Rosa chinensis
Lineage: Eukaryota; Viridiplantae; Streptophyta; Magnoliopsida; Rosales; Rosaceae
Exons: 3
Source: RefSeq, a predicted model, not a curated record
GUUUCCUUUCUUGUUGAGUAAAGCUUGCUGUGAAGCUUGUGGAAAUCUUAAAGCAGCAUUUCUUAUAGCAGUGGAAAUUGAAGACAUUUAACAACUUCAGUCCAAAGAACUUGUUGAGUUUGCGUGUUUUUUUAAGAUGGAAUCACAAUUGCCACAAACAAGAGGGAAGAAAAUACGAAAGCUUAAGUUCAAACUCCCUCCACCUCCAGAAGUUACAGCAGCUCCUCACCUAACAUCUGAAGUUCAACUCACGCCAAAUCUGCAACCAACACCGGCACCUCAAAACACAUCAUCUUCUCAACAAAUAGC